Molecule: ribosomal RNA, 2896 nt
Filed under: Campylobacter coli
Lineage: Bacteria; Pseudomonadati; Campylobacterota; Epsilonproteobacteria; Campylobacterales; Campylobacteraceae
Description: bacterial LSU rRNA
Rfam family: Bacterial large subunit ribosomal RNA
Source: RNAcentral
CUAAGAGCGAAUGGUGGAUGCCUUGACUGGUAAAGGCGAUGAAGGACGUACUAGACUGCGAUAAGCUACGGGGAGCUGUCAAGAAGCUUUGAUCCGUAGAUUUCCGAAUGGGGCAACCCAAUGUAUAGAGAUAUACAUUACCUAUAUAGGAGCGAACGAGGGGAAUUGAAACAUCUUAGUACCCUCAGGAAAAGAAAUCAAUAGAGAUUGCGUCAGUAGCGGCGAGCGAAAGCGCAAGAGGGCAAACCCAGUGCUUGCACUGGGGGUUGUAGGACUGCAAUGUGCAAGAGGUGAGUUUAGCAGAACAUUCUGGAAAGUAUAGCCAUAGAGGGUGAUAGUCCCGUAUGCGAAAAACAAACCUUAGCUAGCAGUAUCCUGAGUAGGGCGGGACACGAGAAAUCCUGUCUGAAGCUGGGUCGACCACGAUCCAACCCUAAAUACUAAUACCAGAUCGAUAGUGCACAAGUACCGUGAGGGAAAGGUGAAAAGAACUGAGGUGAUCAGAGUGAAAUAGAACCUGAAACCAUUUGCUUACAAUCAUUCAGAGCACUAUGUAGCAAUACAGUGUGAUGGACUGCCUUUUGCAUAAUGAGCCUGCGAGUUGUGGUGUCUGGCAAGGUUAAGCAAACGCGAAGCCGUAGCGAAAGCGAGUCUGAAUAGGGCGCUUAGUCAGAUGCUGCAGACCCGAAACGAAGUGAUCUAUCCAUGAGCAAGUUGAAGCUAGUGUAAGAACUAGUGGAGGACUGAACCCAUAGGCGUUGAAAAGCCCCGGGAUGACUUGUGGAUAGGGGUGAAAGGCCAAUCAAACUUCGUGAUAGCUGGUUCUCUCCGAAAUAUAUUUAGGUAUAGCGUUGUGUCGUAAUAUAAGGGGGUAGAGCACUGAAUGGGCUAGGGCAUACACCAAUGUACCAAACCCUAUCAAACUCCGAAUACCUUAUAUGUAAUCACAGCAGUCAGGCGGCGAGUGAUAAAAUCCGUCGUCAAGAGGGAAACAACCCAGACUACCAGCUAAGGUCCCUAAAUCUUACUUAAGUGGAAAACGAUGUGAAGUUACUUAAACAACCAGGAGGUUGGCUUAGAAGCAGCCAUCCUUUAAAGAAAGCGUAAUAGCUCACUGGUCUAGUGAUUUUGCGCGGAAAAUAUAACGGGGCUAAAGUAAGUACCGAAGCUGUAGACUUGACUUUGUCAAGUGGUAGGAGAGCGUUCUAUUUGCGUCGAAGGUAUACCGGUAAGGAGUGCUGGAGCGAAUAGAAGUGAGCAUGCAGGCAUGAGUAGCGAUAAUUAAUGUGAGAAUCAUUAACGCCGUAAACCCAAGGUUUCCUACGCGAUGCUCGUCAUCGUAGGGUUAGUCGGGUCCUAAGUCGAGUCCGAAAGGGGUAGACGAUGGCAAAUUGGUUAAUAUUCCAAUACCAACAUUAGUGUGCGAUGGAAGGACGCUUAGGGCUAAGGGGGCUAGCGGAUGGAAGUGCUAGUCUAAGGUCGUAGGUGCUUAUACAGGCAAAUCCGUAUAAGAAUACACCGAGAACUGAAAGGCUUUUUGAAAUCUUCGGAUGGAUAGAAGAACCCCUGAUGCCGUCGAGCCAAGAAAAGUUUCUAAGUUUAGCUAAUGUUGCCCGUACCGUAAACCGACACAGGUGGGUGGGAUGAGUAUUCUAAGGCGCGUGGAAGAACUCUCUUUAAGGAACUCUGCAAAAUAGCACCGUAUCUUCGGUAUAAGGUGUGGUUCGCUUCGUAUUAGGAUUUACUCCGAAAGCGAAGAAACUUACAACAAAGAGUCCCUCCCGACUGUUUACCAAAAACACAGCACUCUGCUAACUCGUAAGAGGAUGUAUAGGGUGUGACGCCUGCCCGGUGCUCGAAGGUUAAUUGAUGGGGUUAGCAUUAGCGAAGCUCUUGAUCGAAGCCCGAGUAAACGGCGGCCGUAACUAUAACGGUCCUAAGGUAGCGAAAUUCCUUGUCGGUUAAAUACCGACCUGCAUGAAUGGCGUAACGAGAUGGGAGCUGUCUCAAAGAGGGAUCCAGUGAAAUUGUAGUGGAGGUGAAAAUUCCUCCUACCCGCGGCAAGACGGAAAGACCCCGUGGACCUUUACUACAGCUUGACACUGCUACUUGGAUAAGAAUGUGCAGGAUAGGUGGGAGGCUUUGAGUAUAUGACGCCAGUUGUAUAUGAGCCAUUGUUGAGAUACCACUCUUUCUUAUUUGGGUAGCUAACCAGCUUGAGUUAUCCUCAAGUGGGACAAUGUCUGGUGGGUAGUUUGACUGGGGCGGUCGCCUCCCAAAUAAUAACGGAGGCUUACAAAGGUUGGCUCAGAACGGUUGGAAAUCGUUCGUAGAGUAUAAAGGUAUAAGCCAGCUUAACUGCAAGACAUACAAGUCAAGCAGAGACGAAAGUCGGUCUUAGUGAUCCGGUGGUUCUGUGUGGAAGGGCCAUCGCUCAAAGGAUAAAAGGUACCCCGGGGAUAACAGGCUGAUCUCCCCCAAGAGCUCACAUCGACGGGGAGGUUUGGCACCUCGAUGUCGGCUCAUCGCAUCCUGGGGCUGGAGCAGGUCCCAAGGGUAUGGCUGUUCGCCAUUUAAAGCGGUACGCGAGCUGGGUUCAGAACGUCGUGAGACAGUUCGGUCCCUAUCUGCCGUGGGCGUAAGAAGAUUGAAGAGAUUUGACCCUAGUACGAGAGGACCGGGUUGAACAAACCACUGGUGUAGCUGUUGUUCUGCCAAGAGCAUCGCAGCGUAGCUAAGUUUGGAAAGGAUAAACGCUGAAAGCAUCUAAGCGUGAAGCCAACUCUAAGAUGAAUCUUCUCUAAGCUCUCUAGAAGACUACUAGUUUGAUAGGCUGGGUGUGUAAUGGAUGAAAGUCCUUUAGCUGACCAGUACUAAUAGAGCGUUUGGCUUAUCU